UACGUAGGUGGCAAGCGUUGUCCGGAAUUAUUGGGCGUAAAGCGCGCGCAGGCGGUCCUUUAAGUCUGAUGUGAAAGCCCACGGCUCAACCGUGGAGGGUCAUUGGAAACUGGGGGACUUGAGUGCAGAAGAGGAGAGUGGAAUUCCACGUGUAGCGGUGAAAUGCGUAGAGAUGUGGAGGAACACCAGUGGCGAAGGCGACUCUCUGGUCUGUAACCGACGCUGAGGCGCGAAAGCGUGGGGAGCAAACAGG
This 253-nucleotide ribosomal RNA is filed under the name uncultured bacterium. RNAcentral describes it as "partial 16S ribosomal RNA". It matches the Rfam family "Bacterial small subunit ribosomal RNA", at positions 524 to 776 of the family's 1533-position model. The record is from RNAcentral.